AGAGUUUGAUCCUGGCUCAGGAUGAACGCUAGCGGCAGGCCUAAUACAUGCAAGUCGGACGGGAUUUGGGAGCUUGCUCCUGAUGAGAGUGGCGCACGGGUGCGUAACACGUAUGUAACCUACCUUAAUCUGGGGGAUAGCCUCUCGAAAGAGAGAUUAACACCGCAUAACAUCACCGGAUAGCAUUUUUUGGUGAUCAAAUAUUUAUAGGAUUAAGAUGGGCAUGCGGAACAUUAGCUAGUUGGUAAGGUAAUGGCUUACCAAGGCUACGAUGUUUAGGGGAUCUGAGAGGAUGGCCCCCCACACUGGUACUGAGACACGGACCAGACUCCUACGGGAGGCAGCAGUAAGGAAUAUUGGUCAAUGGGCGCAAGCCUGAACCAGCCAUGCCGCGUGCAGGAAGACGGCCCUAUGGGUUGUAAACCGCUGUCGUAGGGGAGGAAGGUUUGGUGUAUAGCCAAGCUUGACCGAUCCUAGGAGGAAGGGCCGGCUAAUCUCGUGCCAGCAGCCGCGGUAAUAC
RNAcentral lists this ribosomal RNA (520 nucleotides) under uncultured bacterium. RNAcentral describes it as "bacterial SSU rRNA". It matches the Rfam family "Bacterial small subunit ribosomal RNA", at positions 8 to 526 of the family's 1533-position model. The record is from RNAcentral.